Molecule: transfer RNA, 74 nt
Filed under: Bacteriophage sp.
Description: tRNA-Arg
Rfam family: tRNA
About the family: Transfer RNA (tRNA) molecules are approximately 80 nucleotides in length.
Source: RNAcentral
GGCUUAAUAGCUCAAUUGUAUAGAGCAACUCCGUCCUAAGGAGUAGGCUGUGGGUUAGAGUCCCACUUAAGCCA